Molecule: long non-coding RNA, 891 nt
Organism: Oncorhynchus keta (chum salmon)
Lineage: Eukaryota; Metazoa; Chordata; Actinopteri; Salmoniformes; Salmonidae
Exons: 5
Source: RefSeq, a predicted model, not a curated record
GUCCAGGGAGAACUAGCAUGGUUCAGUAGUGGUAGUAGGGGUGUGUCUAGGGAGAACUAGCAUGGUUCAGUAGGUGUAGUGGGGGUGUGUCCAGGGAGAACUAGCAUGGUUCAGUAGGUGUAGUGGGGGUGUGUCCAGGGAGAACUAGCAUGGUUCAGUAGGGGUGUGUCCAGGGAGAACUAGCAUGGUUCAGUAGGUGUAGUGGGGGUGUGUCCAGGGAGAACUAGCAUGGUUCAGUAGGGGUGUGUCCAGGGAGAACUAGCAUGGUUCAGUAGGGGUAGUAGGGGUGUGUCCAGGGAGAACUAGCAUGGUUCAGUAGUGGUAGUAGGGGUGUGUCUAAAGGAGAACUAGCAUGGUUCAGUAGGUGUAGUGGGGGUGUGUCCAGGGAGAACUAGCAUGGUUCAGUAGGGGUGUGUCCAGGGAGAACUAGCAUGGUUCAGUAGGUGUAGUGGGGGUGUGUCCAGGGAGAACUAACAUGGUUCAGUAGGGGUGUGUCCAGGGAGAACUAGCAUGGUUCAGUAGGGGUAGUAGGGGCGUGUCCAGGGAGAACUAGCAUGGUUCAGUAGUGGUGUGUCCAGGGAGAACUAGCAUGGUUCAGUAGGGGUGUGUCCAGGGAGAACUAGCAUGGUUCAGUAGUGGUGUGUCCAGGGAGAACUAGCAUGGUUCAGUAGGGGUGUGUCCAGGGAGAACUAGCAUGGUUCAGUAGGGGUGUGUCCAGGGAGAACUAGCAUGGUUCAGUAGGGGUGUGUCCAGGGAGAACUAGCAUGGUUCAGUAGGGGUGUGUCCAGGGAGAACUAGCAUGGUUCAGUAGGGGUGUGUCCAGGGAGAACUAGCAUGGUUCAGUAGGGGUGUGUCCAGGGAGAACUAGCAUGGUUCAGUAGUGGUAGUAGG